RNAcentral lists this ribosomal RNA (357 nucleotides) under uncultured archaeon. RNAcentral describes it as "bacterial SSU rRNA". It matches the Rfam family "Archaeal small subunit ribosomal RNA", at positions 46 to 403 of the family's 1478-position model. The record is from RNAcentral.
UAGCCAUGCUAGUCGUGCGAGUUUAGACUCGCGGCACCGAGCUCAGUAACACGUGGCCAAACUACCCUGUAGAGACGUAUAACCUCGGGAAACUGAGGCUAAUUCGUCAUACCGGUUGAACGGUUGAACUCCAUCAACCUCGAAAUGCCCCGGCGCUACAGGAUGUGGCUGCGGCCGAUUAGGUUGACGGUGGGGUAACGGCCCACCGUGCCAAUAAUCGGAACAGGUUGUGAGAGCAAGAACCUGGAGACGGCAUCUGAGACAAGAUGCCGGGCCCUACGGGGCGCAGCAGGCGCGAAACCUUUACACUGCACGCACGUGCGAUAAGGGGACUCCGAGUGCGAGGGCAUAUCGUCC